Molecule: transfer RNA, 73 nt
Filed under: Bos taurus (domestic cattle)
Lineage: Eukaryota; Metazoa; Chordata; Mammalia; Artiodactyla; Bovidae
Also listed under: 4 other names
Rfam family: tRNA
About the family: Transfer RNA (tRNA) molecules are approximately 80 nucleotides in length. Their secondary structure includes four short double-helical elements and three loops (D, anti-codon, and T loops).
Source: Rfam by way of RNAcentral
UCCCUGGUAGUUCAGUGGCUAAGUCUCUGCACUUCCAAUGCAGGAGGUUCAGGUUCCAUUCCUGGCCAGGAAA